This 679-nucleotide long non-coding RNA is filed under the name Mus pahari (shrew mouse). RNAcentral's name for it is "predicted gene 12930 (MGP_PahariEiJ_G0003779.1)". The record is from RNAcentral. Lineage: Eukaryota; Metazoa; Chordata; Mammalia; Rodentia; Muridae.
CGUGGGUCGGAGUUAGGGAUUCCAGAUGGGGCUGGGUCGCAGCUGGGUCGCAGCUGGGAUGCAUGGGCAAGGCUGGAUACAUAGAUCUCUUCUAUGGACACAUAGACACACAGAUACACAGAUCCUGUUCUGAAGAAGUAUACACCAGGGAAAGGUGACACCACAGGUCAGACAGGUUGUUACCCUGGAGCACAGAGUGGAAGGGGAGAUAAAGGAGGACAGUGACUUGUCUUAAGUGGUCAAGAAAGACUUCGUGGAGAAGUCGAUAAAGAAGCUGCCCCGUGAAAGGGACCAGAAGGCCAAGGGGGUGUCUGAAUCUGUACAGUGCCUACCUUGUAGGCAUGAAGACUUAAGGCUCUGGGCGUGGCGGCAGACAUUCGGCACAGGAGAAACAAAGACAGGCAGAUCUUGGGGGCUUGGGGGUCAGACAGCCUAAUUCAUUUGGUGGGCUCCGGGCCAGUGAUAAAUCCUGUCUCAAAAAACCAAAGUGGAUGGUUUCUCAAGAAAUGGGUCCCAGAGUUGACCUCUUGCUUCCACACACAUGUUCACACCCACAUACAUAUGUAUACCCCCUCCACCACAUAUACAGAUGCAUCGCACAUACAUUAACCAUCCUCUGGACAUGCCCCCAGACAUCCCGGCAGAUGUCCCCUGAGACAAAGGUGUAGGGACAGUGGAA